CGGGAGGCAGCAGUGGGGAAUAUUGGACAAUGGGCGAAAGCCUGAUCCAGCCAUGCCGCGUGUGUGAAGAAGGUCUUCGGAUUGUAAAGCACUUUAAGUUGGGAGGAAGGGCAGUAAGUUAAUACCUUGCUGUUUUGACGUUACCAACAGAAUAAGCACCGGCUAACUUCGUGCCAGCAGCCGCGGUAAUACGAAGGGUGCAAGCGUUAAUCGGAAUUACUGGGCGUAAAGCGCGCGUAGGUGGUUCAGCAAGUUGGAGGUGAAAUCCCCGGGCUCAACCUGGGAACUGCCUCCAAAACUACUGAGCUAGAGUACGGUAGAGGGUAGUGGAAUUUCCUGUGUAGCGGUGAAAUGCGUAGAUAUAGGAAGGAACACCAGUGGCGAAGGCGACUACCUGGACUGAUACUGACACUGAGGUGCGAAAGCGUGGGGAGCAAACAGGAUUAGAUACCCU
This 454-nucleotide ribosomal RNA is filed under the name Aquipseudomonas alcaligenes. RNAcentral's name for it is "bacterial SSU rRNA". It matches the Rfam family "Bacterial small subunit ribosomal RNA", at positions 342 to 788 of the family's 1533-position model. The record is from RNAcentral. Lineage: Bacteria; Pseudomonadati; Pseudomonadota; Gammaproteobacteria; Pseudomonadales; Pseudomonadaceae.